CCCAGCAUGGGUGAUUUUCUUUGGAAGAUUCGGUAGUUGGUGGGUUGACAUCCCAGUACUUCGUCAUUUCCUCGGAUAGAUCCCCAGCGGAGUUGUUGGUAUGAUGAACUUCAUCCAUGCUAUCUAUCCCCAUCAGAGAUCUGGUUGCUUCCUGGCGUCUCUGAUCCCUAGUGUGAGUUGUUGUUGUGGCGUUUCUGCCUGUGCAUUGAACUCUUUU
RNAcentral lists this long non-coding RNA (217 nucleotides) under Lathyrus oleraceus (garden pea). Its description in RNAcentral is "Pisum sativum (pea) long non-coding RNA (PSAT_LNC010569)". Lineage: Eukaryota; Viridiplantae; Streptophyta; Magnoliopsida; Fabales; Fabaceae. The record is from RNAcentral.